GCCAGACUCCUACGGGAGGCAGCAGUGGGGGAUAUUGCACAAUGGGGGGAACCCUGAUGCAGCGACGCCGCGUGGGUGAAGGAGCGUUUCGGCGCGUAAAGCCCUAUCGGCAGGGAAGAAGGAGGACGGUACCUGACUAAGAAGCCCCGGCUAACUACGUGCCAGCAGCCGCGGUAAUACGUAGGGGGCAAGCGUUAUCCGGAUUUACUGGGUGUAAAGGGGGCGCAGACGGCAGCGCAAGCCAGGAGUGAAAGCCCGGGGCCCAACCCCGGGACUGCUCUUGGAACUGCGCGGCUGGAGUGCAGGAGGGGCGGGCGGAAUUCCUGGUGUAGCGGUGAAAUGCGUAGAUAUCAGGAGGAACACCGGUGGCGAAGGCGGCCUGCUGGACGGCGACUGACGUUGAGGCCCGAAAGCGUGGGGAGCAAACAGGAUUAGAUACCCCAGUAGCC
This 449-nucleotide ribosomal RNA is filed under the name uncultured bacterium. RNAcentral describes it as "partial 16S ribosomal RNA". It matches the Rfam family "Bacterial small subunit ribosomal RNA", at positions 330 to 795 of the family's 1533-position model. The record is from RNAcentral.